UACGUAGGGUGCGAGCGUUGUCCGGAAUUACUGGGCGUAAAGAGCUCGUAGGUGGUUUGUCGCGUUGUUCGUGAAAACUCACAGCUCUACUGUGGGCGUGCGGGCGAUACGGGCAGACUGGAGUACUGCAGGGGAGACUGGAAUUCCUGGUGUAGCGGUGGAAUGCGCAGAUAUCAGGAGGAACACCGGUGGCGAAGGCGGGUCUCUGGGCAGUAACUGACGCUGAGGAGCGAAAGCGUGGGGAGCGAACAGG
Molecule: ribosomal RNA, 253 nt
Filed under: uncultured bacterium
Lineage: Bacteria
Description: partial 16S ribosomal RNA
Rfam family: Bacterial small subunit ribosomal RNA
Source: RNAcentral